RNAcentral lists this ribosomal RNA (253 nucleotides) under uncultured bacterium. RNAcentral describes it as "partial 16S ribosomal RNA". It matches the Rfam family "Bacterial small subunit ribosomal RNA", at positions 524 to 776 of the family's 1533-position model. The record is from RNAcentral.
UACGGAAUGUGCAAACGUUAUUCGGAAUCACUGGGCUUAAAGAGUCCGUAGGCGGCUUGUUGGGUGAGGUGUGAAAUCCCCCGGCUCAACCGAGGAAUUGCGCUUCAAACCGGCAAGCUCGAGGAGGAUAGAGGUGGGCGGAACUGAUGGUGGAGCGGUGAAAUGCGUUGAUAUCAUCAGGAACACCGGAGGCGAAAGCGGGCUACUGGGCCGAUACUGACGCUGAGGCGCGAAAGCCAGGGGAGCAAACGGG